GGACCCGCACAAGCGGUGGAGCAUGUGGUUUAAUUCGACGCAACGCGAAGAACCUUACCAGGGCUUGACAUCUUGCGCUAGUCUAGGAAACUAGAUGUUCCUAUCUUUUGGUAGGACGCAAAGACAGGUGGUGCAUGGUUGUCGUCAGCUCGUGUCGUGAGAUGUUGGGUUAAGUCCCGCAACGAGCGCAACCCCUACUUUUAGUUGCCAGCAGGUUAAGCUGGGCACUCUAAAGGAACUGCCGGUGACAAACCGGAGGAAGGUGGGGAUGACGUCAAAUCAUCAUGCCCUUUAUGUCCUGGGCUACACACGUGCUACAAUGGUCGGUACAGAGGGUUGCUAAGCCGCGAGGCGGAGCCAAUCCCAAAAAACCGGUCUCAGUUCGGAUUGCAGGCUGCAACUCGCCUGCAUGAAGUCGGAAUCGCUAGUAAUCGCAAGUCAGCAUAUUGCGGUGAAUACGUUCCCGGGUCUU
This 472-nucleotide ribosomal RNA is filed under the name uncultured bacterium. RNAcentral's name for it is "bacterial SSU rRNA". It matches the Rfam family "Bacterial small subunit ribosomal RNA", at positions 917 to 1382 of the family's 1533-position model. The record is from RNAcentral.